AGUGGCGAACGGGUGAGGAACACGUAAGAAUCUGCCCCUCGGUCGGGGACAACUCUUGGAAACGAGAGCUAAUACCCGAUACGCUGUGGAGUGAAAGAAUUUCGCCGAGGGACGAUCUUGCGUCUGAUUAGCUAGUUGGUGUGGUAAUGGCAUACCAAGGCGACGAUCAGUAGCUGGUCUGAGAGGAUGAACAGCCACAUUGAAACUGAGACACGGUCCAAACUCCUACGGGGGGCAGCAGUGGGGAAUUUUCCGCAAUGGACGAAAGUCUGACGGAGCGACGCUGCGUGAAGGAUGACGGCCUGCGGGUUGUAAACUUCUUUUCUCGAAGAAGAAGCUCUGACGGUAUUCGAGGAAUAAGCAUCGGCUAACUCCGUGCCAGCAGCCGCGGUAAUACGGAGGAUGCAAGUGUUAUUCGGAAUGAUUGGGCGUAAAGCGUCUGUAGGCUGUAUAGAAAGUCUUUUGUUAAAUGCCUCGGCUCAACCGAGAUCCAGCAAAGGAAACUUCUAUACUUGAGGGAAGUAGAGGUACAGGGAAUUCCCGGUGGAGCGGUGAAAUGCGUAGAUAUCGGGAGGAACACCAAUAUGGCGAAGGCACUGUACUGGGCUUUACCUGACGCUCAGAGACGAAAGCUAAAGGAGUGAUUAGGAUUAGAUACCCUAGUAAUUUUAGCCGUAAACGAUGGAAACUCACUGCCGAGCGAAAUACAACGAGCGGUGGUCAAGCUAACGCGUGAAGUUUCCCGCCUGGGGAUUAC
Molecule: ribosomal RNA, 757 nt
Filed under: uncultured phototrophic eukaryote
Lineage: Eukaryota
Description: bacterial SSU rRNA
Rfam family: Bacterial small subunit ribosomal RNA
Source: RNAcentral